RNAcentral lists this ribosomal RNA (1140 nucleotides) under uncultured bacterium. Its description in RNAcentral is "bacterial SSU rRNA". The stretch from base 204 to 1140 matches the Rfam family "Bacterial small subunit ribosomal RNA", at positions 1 to 891 of the family's 1533-position model. The record is from RNAcentral.
UUGUGUUGAAAUUGGUGAAGCGCGGAUAUAAACACAAUUCACCACCAGAAAACAGGCCUAUUGGAACCAUGAAAUAACGCCAAGGCAUAUAAUUAGGGUGACCACUAUUGAAUAACUCAAAGCAUAUAUGCAUCCCAAACGGCGUUGGAGCUCCUCCCCAAUAAUUGGUUCGACCUUGCAGGCGGCCCGCGAAUUUCAACUAGUGGAAUAAGAGUUUGAUCCUGGCUCAAGAACGAACGGCUGGCGGCGUGCCUAAUACAUGCAAGUCGAGCGGAGCUCGAUAGGUGCUUGCACCUUGAGAGCUUUAGCGGCGGACGGGUGAGUAACACGUAGGCAAACCUGCCUGUAAAGACUGGGAUAACUCCGGGAAACCGGGGCUAAUACCGGAUAACAUCAUUUCUUGCAUGAGAAAUGAUUGAAAGAUGGCGAGGGUUCAGUUUCUGAACCUUGCUAUCACUUACAGAUGGGCCUGCGGCGCAUUAGCUAGUUGGUGGGGUAAUGGCCUACCAAGGCGACGAUGCGUAGCCGACCUGAGAGGGUGAUCGGCCACACUGGGACUGAGACACGGCCCAGACUCCUACGGGAGGCAGCAGUAGGGAAUCUUCGGCAAUGGACGAAAGUCUGACCGAGCAACGCCGCGUGAGUGAUGAAGGUUUUCGGAUCGUAAAACUCUGUUGUUAGGGAAGAACAAGUAUCGUUUAAAUAAGGCGGUACCUUGACGGUACCUAACGAGAAAGCCCCGGCUAACUACGUGCCAGCAGCCGCGGUAAUACGUAGGGGGCAAGCGUUGUCCGGAAUUAUUGGGCGUAAAGCGCGCGCAGGCGGUCUCUUAAGUCUGAUGUGAAAGCCCACGGCUCAACCGUGGAGGGUCAUUGGAAACUGGGAGACUUGAGUGUAGGAGAGGAAAGUGGAAUUCCACGUGUAGCGGUGAAAUGCGUAGAGAUGUGGAGGAACACCAGUGGCGAAGGCGACUUUCUGGCCUAUAACUGACGCUGAGGCGCGAAAGCGUGGGGAGCAAACAGUAUUAGUUUCCCUGGUAGUCCACGCCGUAAACGAUGAGUUUUUUUGUUUUAGGGGUUUCGAUACCCUUAGUGCCGACGUUAACACAUAAGCACUCCGCCCUGGGGAGACGGGCAGUUA